GUGGGGAAUUUUGGACAAUGGGCGCAAGCCUGAUCCAGCAAUGCCGCGUGCAGGAAGAAGGCCUUCGGGUUGUAAACUGCUUUUGUACGGAACGAAACGGUCCUGGUUAAUACCUGGGGCUAAUGACGGUACCGUAAGAAUAAGCACCGGCUAACUACGUGCCAGCAGCCGCGGUAAUACGUAGGGUGCAAGCGUUAAUCGGAAUUACUGGGCGUAAAGCGUGCGCAGGCGGUUUUGUAAGACAGGCGUGAAAUCCCCGGGCUCAACCUGGGAAUUGCGCUUGUGACUGCAAGGCUGGAGUGCGGCAGAGGGGGAUGGAAUUCCGCGUGUAGCAGUGAAAUGCGUAGAUAUGCGGAGGAACACCGAUGGCGAAGGCAAUCCCCUGGACCUGUACUGACGCUCAUGCACGAAAGCGUGGGGAGCAAACAGGAUUAGAUACCCCUGUAGUCC
RNAcentral lists this ribosomal RNA (450 nucleotides) under uncultured bacterium. RNAcentral describes it as "partial 16S ribosomal RNA". It matches the Rfam family "Bacterial small subunit ribosomal RNA", at positions 354 to 796 of the family's 1533-position model. The record is from RNAcentral.